This 301-nucleotide ribosomal RNA is filed under the name uncultured bacterium. RNAcentral describes it as "partial 16S ribosomal RNA". It matches the Rfam family "Bacterial small subunit ribosomal RNA", at positions 509 to 809 of the family's 1533-position model. The record is from RNAcentral.
CAGCAGCCGCGGUAAUACGAAGGGGGCUAGCGUUGCUCGGAAUGACUGGGCGUAAAGGGCGCGUAGGCGGCGGCCAAAGUCAGGCGUGAAAUUCCCGGGCUCAACCUUGGGGCUGCGUUUGAUACUUGGUUGCUUGAGUGGGGAAGAGGGUCGUGGAAUUCCCAGUGUAGAGGUGAAAUUCGUAGAUAUUGGAAAGAACACCGGUGGCGAAGGCGGCGACCUGGUCUUUAACUGACGCUGAGGCGCGAAAGCGUGGGGAGCAAACAGGAUUAGAUACCCCUGUAGUCCCUGUCUCUUAUAA